GUAAAAUUGCCUUUGAUACUGUUGGUCUUGAGUUAUAGUGAAGUUGCCGGAAUAUGUAGUGUAGCGGUGAAAUGCAUAGAUAUUACAUAGAACACCGAUUGCGAAGGCAGGUGACUAACUAUAUACUGACGCUGAUGGACGAAAGCGUGGGGAGCGAACAGGAUUAGAUACCCUGGUAGUCCACGCCGUAAACGAUGGAUACUAGCUGUCCGGAACCUUGAGUUCUGGGCGGCCAAGCGAAAGUGAUAAGUAUCCCACCUGGGGAGUACGUUCGCAAGAAUGAAACUCAAAGGAAUUGACGGGGGCCCGCACAAGCGGUGGAGCAUGUGGUUUAAUUCGAUGAUACGCGAGGAACCUUACCAGGGCUUAAAUGCAUAUUGACAGGUCUAGAGAUAGAUUUUCCUUCGGGCAAUUUGCAAGGUGCUGCAUGGUUGUCGUCAGCUCGUGCCGUGAGGUGUCAGGUUAAGUCCUAUAACGAGCGCAACCCCUACCGUUAGUUGCCAGCAUGUCAUGAUGGGGACUCUAACGGGACUGCCGGUGCAAACCGUGAGGAAGGUGGGGAUGACGUCAAAUCAUCACGGCCCUUACGUCCUGGGCCACACACGUGCUACAAUGGCAGGUACAGAGAGCAGCCAUGUCGCAAGGCAGAGCGAAUCUAUAAAACCUGUCACAGUUCGGAUCGGGGUCUGCAACUCGACCCCGUGAAGCUGGAAUCGCUAGUAAUCGGAUAUCAGCCAUGAUCCGGUGAAUACGUUCCCGGGCCUUGUACACACCGCCCGUCAAGCCAUGGAAGCCGGGAGUGCCUGAAGUCCGUCAC
Molecule: ribosomal RNA, 817 nt
Filed under: Maribacter sp.
Lineage: Bacteria; Pseudomonadati; Bacteroidota; Flavobacteriia; Flavobacteriales; Flavobacteriaceae
Description: bacterial SSU rRNA
Rfam family: Bacterial small subunit ribosomal RNA
Source: RNAcentral